RNAcentral lists this ribosomal RNA (254 nucleotides) under uncultured bacterium. Its description in RNAcentral is "partial 16S ribosomal RNA". It matches the Rfam family "Bacterial small subunit ribosomal RNA", at positions 524 to 776 of the family's 1533-position model. The record is from RNAcentral.
UACGGGGGGAGCAAGCAUUGUUCGGAUUUACUGGGCGUAAAGGGCGCGUAGGCGGCCACCGCAAGUCGACUGUGAAAUCUCCGGGCUUAACCCGGAAAGGUCAGCCGAUACUGCGGGGCUAGAGUGCAGAAGGGGCAACUGGAAUUCUCGGUGUAGCGGUGAAAUGCGUAGAUAUCGAGAGGAACACCUGCGGCGAAGGCGGGUUGCUGGGCUGACACUGACGCUGAUGCGCGAAAGCUAGGGGAGCGAACGGG